GGAGAAAGACUAUGUGCAGUGACUGAGAUGCACCUUGGACAAAUCAAACUCACUCGAUAUAUACUACACAUCUGAGGCAGAUUUCCACCUCUGAAAUCCUGGAAAGAAAUACGGGAACCCUGAUUUUCCACUCUGCAAAGGAGGGGAGUACAAGAUGGAUGAUCUUUGAAGAUGUACUUGAGUACUCCUGGGACAUGAGAGCUGCACUGGUCAGGUGAGUUCAUUUUGGAUGCAUGGCAGAUUUUGUACAGCUGAAGCACAUUAACUUAAACAUAAAUUCAGAGUAGAUCAAGCAUUACACCAAGGUUAAUAU
RNAcentral lists this long non-coding RNA (313 nucleotides) under Calidris pugnax (ruff). RNAcentral describes it as "lncRNA (ENSCPUG00000006839.1)". The record is from RNAcentral. Lineage: Eukaryota; Metazoa; Chordata; Aves; Charadriiformes; Scolopacidae.